AACUCUGAGCAGUGGAUCACUCAGCUCGUGCGUUGAUGAAGAAUGCAUCUAGCUGCGAGUACUAAUGUGAAUUGCAGGACACAUUGAUCAUCAACACUUUGAAUGCACUUUGCGGCCCCGGGUUACUCAUCGGGCUACGCUUGUCUGAGGUUCA
Molecule: ribosomal RNA, 154 nt
Organism: Protopterus annectens (West African lungfish)
Lineage: Eukaryota; Metazoa; Chordata; Ceratodontiformes; Protopteridae
Product: 5.8S ribosomal RNA
Exons: 1
Source: RefSeq, a predicted model, not a curated record